Molecule: long non-coding RNA, 2136 nt
Organism: Clupea harengus (Atlantic herring)
Lineage: Eukaryota; Metazoa; Chordata; Actinopteri; Clupeiformes; Clupeidae
Source: Ensembl
AGCAAAUUUAAACCUUGGCUACUCCUCUCCUCUCCCCGUUUUUGCCUCAUUUGCUAUGAACAACAGCUAAAUAUAGAUGCAGAGAAUGUAACCGCUGCUAACACUGCCCUUUUGCCACUUCAUGUGCACGCCGCUGUUUUGAUAUGGGCUUAGCCAAAUGACGGCGAGGGGGGAAGACAUCCUUUCUGUGAUCGAGGACCAGAGGACACGCUGGGGUGACUCUGUGGAUCCUGAUGAGGAUAAAUCUGACUCCAUGAACUCUAUGGAACAGCUAGAGCAUUUGAAUAGACCAUGUUCAUCUUACCUAAUCUUUUGCUUUCCGUGGGAGGCUGGUCCAAGAGGAUAACCAAAAGGGAAAUGCCUUCAUUUGACAAUGGACAGGAGAGAGAAGAUACAACAGGACAACAAUGAGUGGGAGAGAGAGAGAUGGGGCGUGGGCUGGAGAGAUGACUCCUGGGUACUGGACCUACGCUACCUCUGCGCUACGGCUACACCCGUGGGGCCGUCUCUUAAGUUUAGAUUGGAUAUGAUCUAAUGAUCAGAUAGUUUGCUCAGGCACAGCAACUCAAAGAAAGAAUUGGAUCUGUGGAAAUGAAACAUGUAUCACGUCACCAUAACAUGUGUUUGACAUGACCUCCACUCCCAUACAAACGUGCGCACAAACACACACACAAACACACACACACACACACACACACACACACACACACACACACACACACACACACAUAUAUAUACACUCGCACUACCCCAGCUCUUUGCAAUCUCCUUCCAGGCGCUACCAAGGAGUAUUUGUGUCUGUAACAAUGUCAUUACAACAGCUGACAAAGAAUAACAUGUUCCUAGGGCACAUUGGUGUGGCUGUUAUGGUGGUGUUUUGUGUGUGUAUGUGUUUGUGUGUGUGUGUGUGUGUGUGUGGUUGUGUGUAUGUGUGUGUGUUUGGGAGGGGUAAUGAUGGGAGAAGCUUUCCUUUCAUACUGAUUGCCGCAGACUCAGGGUAAUGGAACAUUAGAGCCCUUCCACAAAUCUCUUUCCGUGUGCGCGCGAAGGGCCGGCGAAUGACUGGUUGCUUCGUCUCCACUUUGCAGAGAUUUCAGAUGUAUAUGUUGCCCCUCUAUGGUACAUUGCUAUUUAAUGACCCUUACUCCUCAAAGUUGUGCAAUCUAUCGUGGCACACACAUGCUGUGUUGGCAAGUGGAUUGUAUGAAUAGGUUUCACCUCCAUUUUUUCCCCUUUGUGCUUGGACCUUUCUGUACAGCUAAGCUGUAGCAAAUGACUGUUAGGCUGUUCUGUGUCUGCAUAGAAUACAUAAAAGCUAUACAUAAAAUUAUCUGCAGUGAGAGGCAAUCUCAGGGGAAAAUAGUGAACUGACAUACCAGCAUUGUGAUAAGGGCAACUCUCUCUCUCGCUUUCGCUCACACACACACACACACACACACACACACACACACACACACACACAAUCACAUACUCAUACACACACACACGUUAACAGUUGCAGUAAAAUCUUCAGAUGCUACUGACCUUGAGUGUUAAAAUUGCAGUCAGACAAAAAGCGCAGUGACACCCAGGCACUUUGCAGCUGGAUUGCAGGCCUGCCAGUAAGCAUUGUUCUCUAAGCACAGUCAGUGAUGGAUUGUCUGUUGACAGAAAGCAUCCACUCCUCAUCAAAGAGAACCAGACAAACAGGUCCUAACUGGCAGCCAAAGAGGCAUUUACCCUCCACCAAGAUUUGGAAACAGGAAAUCAAUGUUUCACUGCUUCUUGCUAUCAGGGCAGCUCAGUAGACAUCUCACCACCAUCCCAUCCACACCAGGCCCUCUGUGGUCCUGCUGGAUGGGCACAUUUGACGGGUUGAAUCCCAUCUGGGUGUCAGCGUUGACCCCCUGGCUCUGCUCCUGGAAGAAAAUGAGCGUUCUGCUCCCAGUGAACACAGUAAUGAUUUGGUUUCAUUGCGGUAAUGCAGGCCCACACUGCCAAGUCACAUUUCCAACGAGUCCAAUGUCCCUUACGUAACGGCUAAUGUUGUUGUUUUGUUGACUGUUGUCCAAUUUGACUUUGAUCGGGCCACCAAGUGCGAUUCCAAAUCUCGAGUAGGCACUUUCAAGUGUAUGGAAAAUUUCUGCAUGAAAAGCU